AGGUUGUUUAGUUUUCAACAGGAGGAAGUUUGUGGCUCUUUGAAGGGAGAAGAAAUAUCUCCAAAGGCUUUGGAGUCUGAGGUCUAUGUCUGCAAGAGCAAGUCCCGACUGAUGAAACAUGAAACAACUACAGAAGCUGUCCGAAAGGAAAAAGGAGAAAGAAGAGCACAACUAAGGCUGAGGUGUGAGAAACUGUGGUUUGGGCACUGCUAAAGGACCCUGAAAUGCUGUGAAGUUCUGAGGAAAAAUUGAACAAACUCUCUGGAAUCCUAUAUUUAUCUGAGGAUGGUAUGCCCAGCGCUUUUCCCAGCGGCCAGGCUGUGUUUAUGAAUCCAAAGCUUUUAGACAGCUGAAGGACCAAGUUAAGCCGACCUGUCUGGGAUUCAUAUCUGAAAGGAGCUUUUCGGGAUUUCUUCUACUAAAUUACUUUGACCUUCUCCCAGUGCCCCUCGAAUAGCAGAUUUAAUUUGCACUAGAGCUCUGCUGGGCAAGAGUGUGAUGUGGAGAGAGUGAAUCCAUACCUUCUCCAACUUGCGGAGGCCAGACCCUUCUCGUAGGGCUGCUUUGCCCCACCGCCUUCCCCGGCUGGAGCUCUCCCUGAAACAGGUCGUGCUGCCUCUCAGAGAACGAUUCUCAGCCCUGGUGGCUCCCUAUGGAUUGGUCUUGAUGUAUUUUGAGCUCACUUCAUUUUUGAGACUAGUAAUUGCAGCUAGGAAAGAGAGAAGAUGUCUUAGACUCCCGCUUCAUUGAUCUUCUUUGUAAAAAUGCCCAGGUACGAUCUGAAAAAAAAUAGGAGAGGCCAGAGUUGUUUAAAACUAUGUAUUUCAUUUUCCCUGUUUGCAGUACAACAAACUAAAUGUUAAAAUUUUUGCAGCAAUAUGUGGCAACAGUAUUGAAACCAGCAGCAAAGCUGAAAUGGUUCAUCUGGUUUUGGUGAAUAUGGCUCCCGAUUAAUUUCUAAUUUACAAUUUUAUGAAGAAUUGGAAGAAAAAAUUCAGUUUUCUGAGCUCUAAAGGCGAGAAAAUUUUUAGAAUGAGAUUUGACUAUUUUAUAGCUACUGCAUUUAUAUAUUCUGAUAUAUUUAUGGUGAUACUUAUGUCAAAGCAAAUCUCUUUCAUAUUAAAAAAAUCUUAAUUUGCACAAGUAAUUGAGGUGGAAUAUUCUUAAUAUAAAC
This is a long non-coding RNA of Hirundo rustica (Barn swallow), 1174 nucleotides long. RefSeq lists it as uncharacterized. The record is from RefSeq and is a predicted model, not a curated record. NCBI's taxonomy places the organism in Eukaryota, Metazoa, Chordata, Aves, Passeriformes, Hirundinidae. The transcript is spliced from 3 exons.